This is a long non-coding RNA of Benincasa hispida (wax gourd), 671 nucleotides long. RefSeq lists it as uncharacterized. The record is from RefSeq and is a predicted model, not a curated record. NCBI's taxonomy places the organism in Eukaryota, Viridiplantae, Streptophyta, Magnoliopsida, Cucurbitales, Cucurbitaceae.
UAAAAAAAGAAAAUUGCGGGAAAAGUCAAGUGCAAAAGUGUAAGUAUGAUGAUAGUUCUGAACAGGCAUAAAAAAUAGUAAAAUAUUUAUUUAUUUAAAUCCUGAAACGAAGUCGUUUAGGUAAGUGGAACCAUCAUCAUAAGCCUUCUGAAACGAUGUCGUUUUGGCUUCAUGUUUACCACACUGCAAAUCACAUAAACGCAAACCCUUGAUUUUUCUCUUCAAACCCUCAUUUCUACCCACAUGAUAACGACAACUUUGGACCCCAGAUCGUUCUUUGUUGAAGACAGUCGACUUCGACGGCGGUGACCUGCAGAUUUCCACGAUGGCGGGGGCUGACUUCGACACUGCGGCGGCCAACUUCUUCAUUCUUUAAUCCACAAACUUUUCGAAAUUUUGUGAUCCCAACGCAAAUGACAAAUUUUAUAAAAAUGCUCUAAUCAAACGACAUUCAAUUCUCUAGACUUUGACCCACUAAGCCACCACAUCAGAAGUUUUGUCGGUUCUUUGUCAUUUCUCCAAGGAUUUCGUGGAGUUUAAUUUGGAUGGAGAUUUAAAGAAUUUUGUUUGUUACUGAAAACCCUUUUACCCAAGAAGAACUCAAUGAGGAUGUGCGAGUUGAUGGGUGGAAUUGUCAAGCUUCAUUUGAUCAGAUUGUAUUUUGGUACAAC